This 89-nucleotide transfer RNA is filed under the name Pseudomonadota bacterium. RNAcentral's name for it is "Proteobacteria bacterium (activated sludge metagenome) tRNA-Ser". It matches the Rfam family "tRNA". From Rfam's summary of the family: Transfer RNA (tRNA) molecules are approximately 80 nucleotides in length. Their secondary structure includes four short double-helical elements and three loops (D, anti-codon, and T loops). Further hydrogen bonds mediate the characteristic L-shaped molecular structure. tRNAs have two regions of fundamental functional importance: the anti-codon, which is responsible for specific mRNA codon recognition, and the 3' end, to which the tRNAs corresponding amino acid is attached (by aminoacyl-tRNA synthetases). tRNAs cope with the degeneracy of the genetic code in two manners: having more than one tRNA (with a specific anti-codon) for a particular amino acid; and 'wobble' base-pairing, i.e. permitting non-standard base-pairing at the 3rd anti-codon position. The record is from RNAcentral. Lineage: Bacteria; Pseudomonadati; Pseudomonadota.
GGUGUGAUGGCAGAGUGGUCUAAUGCGAUUGUCUUGAAAAUAAUUAUGGUGGGUAACCAUCAUCGUGGGUUCAAAUCUCACUCACACCU